UACGUAGGGGGCUAGCGUUGUCCGGAAUCAUUGGGCGUAAAGCGCGCGUAGGCGGCCAGAUAAGUCCGGUGUGAAAGUCACAGGCUCAACCUGUGAAUGCCGCUGGAAACUGUCUGGCUUGAGUCCGGAAGGGGCGAGUGGAAUUCCUGGUGUAGCGGUGAAAUGCGCAGAUAUCAGGAGGAACACCAAUGGCGAAGGCAGCUCGCUGGAACGGUACUGACGCUGAGGCGCGAAAGCUAGGGGAGCGAACAGG
Molecule: ribosomal RNA, 253 nt
Filed under: uncultured bacterium
Lineage: Bacteria
Description: partial 16S ribosomal RNA
Rfam family: Bacterial small subunit ribosomal RNA
Source: RNAcentral